AUUGAACGCUGGCGGCAGGCCUAACACAUGCAAGUCGAACGGUAACAGGAAGCAGCUUGCUGCUUCGCUGACGAGUGGCGGACGGGUGAGUAAUGUCUGGGAAGCUGCCUGAUGGAGGGGGAUAACUACUGGAAACGGUAGCUAAUACCGCAUAAUGUCGCAAGACCAAAGAGGGGGACCUUCGGGCCUCUUGCCAUCGGAUGUGCCCAGAUGGGAUUAGCUUGUUGGUGGGGUAACGGCUCACCAAGGCGACGAUCCCUAGCUGGUCUGAGAGGAUGACCAGCCACACUGGAACUGAGACACGGUCCAGACUCCUACGGGAGGCAGCAGUGGGGAAUAUUGCACAAUGGGCGCAAGCCUGAUGCAGCCAUGCCGCGUGUAUGAAGAAGGCCUUCGGGUUGUAAAGUACUUUCAACGGGGAGGAAGGGAGUAAAGUUAAUACCUUUGCUCAUUGACGUUACCCGCAGAAGAAGCACCGGCUAACUCCGUG
This 490-nucleotide ribosomal RNA is filed under the name uncultured bacterium. RNAcentral describes it as "partial 16S ribosomal RNA". It matches the Rfam family "Bacterial small subunit ribosomal RNA", at positions 30 to 507 of the family's 1533-position model. The record is from RNAcentral.